This 310-nucleotide unclassified non-coding RNA is filed under the name Hevea brasiliensis (rubber tree). The record is from RNAcentral. Lineage: Eukaryota; Viridiplantae; Streptophyta; Magnoliopsida; Malpighiales; Euphorbiaceae.
UCUUCACUAGCAUGGUUUAUGUCAAAUCAGGAAACCAGCUUUGUUACAAUUGGGCAAAGAUUGUUGGCCAAUCCAUUGAAAGUACGUUUCCACUAUGGUCAUCCUGAUGUAUUCGAUAGAUUGUUUCAUUUAACAAGAGGUGGUGUGAGCAAGGCUUCCAAAGUCAUCAACCUAAGUGAAGACAUAUUUGCCGGUUUUAAUUCUACCCUGCGGGGGGGUAAUGUUACUCACCAUGAGUACAUCCAAGUUGGUAAAGGAAGAGAUGUUGGCCUUAACCAAAUUUCACUGUUUGAGGCAAAGAUAGCUAAUG